This 79-nucleotide unclassified non-coding RNA is filed under the name Pseudomonas umsongensis. The record is from RNAcentral. Lineage: Bacteria; Pseudomonadati; Pseudomonadota; Gammaproteobacteria; Pseudomonadales; Pseudomonadaceae.
AAGUGAUGCAAGCGCGACAGGCAUAAAAAAUGGGAGCCCACAGGGCUCCUUUUUUAUGCCUGUCGCGCUUGCAUCACGU